AAUUCAUCGAGAUCGUUUUCGUCGCCUGUAGUCGGUGGAUUAUUCGGAAAUCAACGGAGUAAUUCGAGGAGGCCGAUGGCGUUGAUAGGAUUAACAAGAACUCCGUCGAGAAUGGAGCUGAGCGAGAUUCGGAAGAGACAGGCUCGGCUGGCGCCGGCGCCGAUGUUCCACGUGGUUCCGGGGGAGAAUACGGUAACUGCCGCCGUCGAUGGCGCCGGCAACGGAAUCAGCCCGUGGAGGCUGAUUAAGCCUCUCAGGUAUAGGUCCGUUGUGGUUAGGGUGUUGGCUAAGGCGGCUUCGACUUGUAUAGCUCAUGUGUGACUG
RNAcentral lists this unclassified non-coding RNA (324 nucleotides) under Hevea brasiliensis (rubber tree). Lineage: Eukaryota; Viridiplantae; Streptophyta; Magnoliopsida; Malpighiales; Euphorbiaceae. The record is from RNAcentral.